This 253-nucleotide ribosomal RNA is filed under the name uncultured Prevotellaceae bacterium. RNAcentral's name for it is "partial 16S ribosomal RNA". It matches the Rfam family "Bacterial small subunit ribosomal RNA", at positions 524 to 776 of the family's 1533-position model. The record is from RNAcentral. Lineage: Bacteria; Pseudomonadati; Bacteroidota; Bacteroidia; Bacteroidales; Prevotellaceae.
UACGGAGGAUCCGAGCGUUAUCCGGAUUUAUUGGGUUUAAAGGGAGCGUAGGCCGGCUUUUAAGUCAGCUGUGAAAGUCCGCGGCUCAACCGUGGAAUUGCAGUUGAAACUGGAGGCCUUGAGUGCACACAGGGAUGCCGGAAUUCAUGGUGUAGCGGUGAAAUGCUUAGAUAUCGGGAGGAACACCAGUGGCGAAGGCGGUUUACUGGACCACAACUGACGCUGAGGCACGAAAGCGUGGGGAGCAAAUAGG